Molecule: ribosomal RNA, 445 nt
Filed under: uncultured bacterium
Lineage: Bacteria
Description: bacterial SSU rRNA
Rfam family: Bacterial small subunit ribosomal RNA
Source: RNAcentral
UCCAGACUCCUACGGGAGGCAGCAGUGGGGAAUAUUGCACAAUGGGGGAAACCCUGAUGCAGCGACGCCGCGUGAGUGAAGAAGUAAUUCGUUAUGUAAAGCUCUCUCAGCAGGGAAGAAAAUGACGGUACCUGAGUAAGAAGCCCCGGCUAACUACGUGCCAGCAGCCGCGGUAAUACGUAGGGGGCAAGCGUUAUCCGGAUUUACUGGGUGUAAAGGGAGCGUAGACGGCUGCGCAAGUCAGAAGUGAAAGCCCGGGGCUCAACCGCGGGACUGCUUUUGAAACUGUGUAGCUAGAGUGCAGGAGAGGUAAGUGGAAUUCCUAGUGUAGCGGUGAAAUGCGUAGAUAUUAGGAGGAACACCGGUGGCGAAGGCGGCUUACUGGACUGUAACUGACGUUGAGGCUCGAAAGCGUGGGGAGCAAACAGGAUUAGAUACCCUUGUA